Molecule: microRNA precursor, 86 nt
Filed under: Mustela putorius furo (domestic ferret)
Lineage: Eukaryota; Metazoa; Chordata; Mammalia; Carnivora; Mustelidae
Description: miRNA (ENSMPUG00000023563.1)
Source: RNAcentral
GGCCUGGUCAUGGCCAAGCCCGGGUCCAUCCAGCCGCACCAGAAGGUGGAGGCACAGGUGAGGGCUCCAGGUGACGGGCGGCGCGG